RNAcentral lists this ribosomal RNA (445 nucleotides) under Luteimicrobium subarcticum. RNAcentral's name for it is "bacterial SSU rRNA". It matches the Rfam family "Bacterial small subunit ribosomal RNA", at positions 229 to 686 of the family's 1533-position model. The record is from RNAcentral. Lineage: Bacteria; Bacillati; Actinomycetota; Actinomycetes; Micrococcales.
GCUCGCGGCCUAUCAGCUUGUUGGUGGGGUAGUGGCCUACCAAGGCGACGACGGGUAGCCGGCCUGAGAGGGCGACCGGCCACACUGGGACUGAGACACGGCCCAGACUCCUACGGGAGGCAGCAGUGGGGAAUAUUGCACAAUGGGCGAAAGCCUGAUGCAGCGACGCCGCGUGAGGGAUGAAGGCCUUCGGGUUGUAAACCUCUUUCAGCAGGGAAGAAGCGCAAGUGACGGUACCUGCAGAAGCAGCGCCGGCUAACUACGUGCCAGCAGCGGCGGUAAUACGUAGGGCGCAAGCGUUGUCCGGAAUUAUUGGGCGUAAAGAGCUGGUAGGCGGUUUGUCGCGUUUGGUGUGAAAACUCAAGGCUCAACCUUGAGCUUGCAUCGGGUACGGGCAGACUAGAGUGCGGUAGGGGAGACUGGAAUUCCUGGUGUAGCGGUGGAA